This is a long non-coding RNA of Daphnia magna, 446 nucleotides long. RefSeq lists it as uncharacterized. The record is from RefSeq and is a predicted model, not a curated record. Lineage: Eukaryota; Metazoa; Arthropoda; Branchiopoda; Diplostraca; Daphniidae. The transcript is spliced from 2 exons.
CCACUUCCAGUACACACGUUUAAUCCGUGCCAGCUCUUCAGUUCCGUGUAUAGCCUCGUACGACCUGCCACACGGACCAUCUGUUAAAAUUUCUUUGUUGGGCUGAUCACGCAUCCUUCACGUGCCUGCAUUGAGCCUAAGCUACAAAGAGAGCUAUCCGUGAACAGUAUUGCUGUUUGUGCGAAAAUUCACUGUCAUGGAGCUGCUCUCUUUAUAGAACGGUUCGGAAUCAACGGAAACUAUUUAUCUGACUACGAAAGUUUCGACAUUCUUUUUUAAUUUCAUUUAUAUCCGAUUAUUGUAAGAGUUUUGUAGACCUGCCCUUGUGUUGCUCCAUCAUCCUCAUACAAUUCUAUCUCGCAAUCUCCUUGGUACCACCACCCCCAAAGUUACCCACGUUUAUCUUCGUCCACAAAUACACGCCAUAAAAAUUGGCUUUUAAAAAG